GAUGAACGCUGGCGGCGUGCCUAAUACAUGCAAGUCGAGCGAACAGACGAGGAGCUUGCUCCUCUGACGUUAGCGGCGGACGGGUGAGUAACACGUGGAUAACCUACCUAUAAGACUGGGAUAACUUCGGGAAACCGGAGCUAAUACCGGAUAAUAUAUUGAACCGCAUGGUUCAAUAGUUAAAGACGGUUUUGCUGUCACUUAUAGAUGGAUCCGCGCCGCAUUAGCUAGUUGGUAAGGUAACGGCUUACCAAGGCGACGAUGCGUAGCCGACCUGAGAGGGUGAUCGGCCACACUGGAACUGAGACACGGUCCAGACUCCUACGGGAGGCAGCAGUAGGGAAUAUUCCGCAAUGGGCGAAAGCCUGACGGAGCAACGCCGCGUGAGUGAUGAAGGUCUUCGGAUCGUAAAACUCUGUUAUUAGGGAAGAAAAAAUGUGUAAGUAACUAUGCACGUCUUGACGGUACCUAAUCAGAAAGCCACGGCUAACUACGUG
RNAcentral lists this ribosomal RNA (497 nucleotides) under uncultured bacterium. Its description in RNAcentral is "partial 16S ribosomal RNA". It matches the Rfam family "Bacterial small subunit ribosomal RNA", at positions 28 to 507 of the family's 1533-position model. The record is from RNAcentral.